Molecule: ribosomal RNA, 425 nt
Filed under: uncultured bacterium
Lineage: Bacteria
Description: bacterial SSU rRNA
Rfam family: Bacterial small subunit ribosomal RNA
Source: RNAcentral
GGCAGCAGCAAGGAAUUUUGGGCAAUGGGCGAAAGCCUGACCCAGCAACGCCGCGUGAGGGAUGAAGGCCUUCGGGUCGUAAACCUCUUUUCUCAGGGAAGAAAAAAAUGACGGUACCUGGGGAAUAAGUCUCGGCUAACUACGUGCCAGCAGCCGCGGUAAUACGUAGGAGGCGAGCGUUAUCCGGAUUUAUUGGGCGUAAAGAGAGCGUAGGCGGUUUGUCAAGUCGGAUGUGAAAUCUCCCGGCUCAACUGGGAGGAGUCAUUCGAUACUGAUGGGCUAGAGUGCAGCAGGGGAAAACGGAAUUCCCGGUGUAGUGGUGAUAUGCGUAGAUACCGGGAGGAACACCAGAGGCGAAGGCGGUUUUCUAGGCUGUUUCUGACGCUGAGGCUCAAAAGCGUGGGGAGCGAACAGGAUUAGAUACC